GGAAAUCAUCGCUGAGCCAUGCCACCGGGCGCCUCCAUCGCCUCUUUGCUCCUCCUGCUCGCCUUCGUCCUCGAGGCGCGAGGGGAGACGGUGACCACCUCUUUCGACUUCCCCAGUUUCGACUCCAGCCCCGCAGACAUCAUCUUCCUAGGCCACGCCUCAUCCGCCAACGGCUCUCUAGAGCUCAACGAGGACGGCGAUUACAGCUAUGGCCGAGUCAUCUAUUCCAACCCAAUACAUCUUUGGGACAACGAAACCGGGAAUCUCGCAAGCUUCGCCACCAAUUUCUCCUUCCCCGUGAUCCGGCCUCCGAACAAGGGGUAUUUCGCUGAUGGAUUAGCCUUCUUCCUUGCCCCCACGGGCUACGGUAUACAAGAUAAUAGCUCGGGUGGCCUUUUAACUCUCUUCCAAAGCUACAGCAAAGGCCGGUCGGUUAAGGUUCCCGUGGUAGCCGUCGAGUACGACUCCUACAAAAACCUAUGGGAUACGUUUGGCGCCCCCCAUGUGGGGAUCGACAUCGGCUACAUCGAGUCCACACAGUCGGCGGAGUGGGAGUCGAUCUCCGGCCAGGACAGAAGCACCAUCGACGUAGUGAUCACCUACGAUGCCGGCACCACCAGGCUUAAAGCCUACUUCUCGGAGAGGAAUGGCACGGACCAGAGCUUGGCUUGGGACGUCGACCUGAGAAAGGAACUCCCCGAAAGUGUGAACAUAGGCUUCGCGGGCGCCACUGGCGCUGACUUUGAACGUCAUGUGAUACAUUCCUGGAGCUUCAACUCAAGCCUGGAUGUUGCCGACCGUAACGGUAACACUACAAACGGCGGCGACGCCGGUGGUACCAAGAAGAAAAGCAGCAUCGGCCUCCUGGCUGGUGUGCUAGCCGGCGCGGGAACCUUGGCAAUCGCAGCGGGUUUGGCGCUGUUCCUCGUCCGGCUGAGAACGGCGUAUGCCAAGAAUGGAGGACAAGACGAGGUCAUCAACGAGAGAGAACUUGACGAAGGCAAGGGACCCAAGAGCUUCUCGUAUUCGGAACUCGCCCGGGCAACCACCAACUUUGCGCCAGAACAAAAGCUAGGAAGAGGAGGAUUCGGAGACGUUUACAGAGGAACCUUAACCCAGCCGAAAAUGGUGGUAGCCAUCAAGAGAGUGGCAAAAGACUCGAGGCAGGGAAAGGAGUAUGUCGCCGAGGUGAAGGUCAUCAGCCGCGUGCGCCACCGCAACCUCGUGCAGCUCGUGGGGUGGUGCCACGAGAAGGGGGACCUGCUUCUCGUCUAUGAGUACAUGCCCAACGGCAGCCUCGACGCCCACCUCUACGGCGGCGGUAGUCCUCUGUCGUGGCCGACGAGGUACAGCAUCGCUCGGGGUGUCGCGGCGGCGCUGCUUUACCUCCACGAAGAGUCGGAGCAGUGCGUGGUGCACAGGGACGUCAAGUCGAGCAAUGUGAUGCUGGACACCAAUUUCAACGCCAAGUUAGGGGAUUUCGGCCUUGCGAGGCUCGUGGACCACGGCGGCGGCAUGGAGACGACGGCCGUGGCUGGGACGAUGGGGUACCUGGCGCCGGAAACCGCGACGACGGGUAGGGCGAGCAAGGAGUCGGACGUCUACAGCUUCGGGGUGCUGGCCUUGGAGAUCGCCUGCGGGAGGAGACCCAUCGAUUACGGCAAUAAAGAGGAUCGGGUUAGUCUCGUUGACUGGGUUUGGGAUCUCUACGGGAAGGGCGCCGUUUUGGAGGGGGCGGACGAGAAGCUGGGCUCGGACUACAACCGGCAGGAGAUGGAGCGGCUGAUGGUGGUGGGGCUGUGCUGCGCCCACCCGGACCACCUGCAACGGCCGUCGAUGCGGCAGGUGAUUGGCAUUCUUCUUUUCGAAAUGCCAUUGCCAAAUCUUCCGGUCCAGAUGCCGGAGCCGUCCUACGGAGGGGUUUCCGUUUCUAGGUCCAACCUGGCCACCAUCAACGGGUGGUCGUCGCCUCCGUCGAUUCAGCUGGCUUCCACUGACAGCAAACCACUUCCGUAUCCGCCCGUCAGGUAAAGCCAUCAGAUUCAACGUUUUCGUUUUAUUCUUCGAUUUACUCUUGGCUUGUCUUUUUAGGCGGUCGUCGCAUUAACGGGUCCAGCGACUGGGCUGACCAUUUCUCACCAAAACGGCCGUCGACCGACAGAUCUCAGUGCACGCUCCAACUCUCCCAUUAACAACCACUCGGUCCUUAGAGGUGUUAAUAAGUAGAACCUCUCUUCUCUACUUCAGUGUACUAUUUGACAGUUGUGAAGAGAAGUUCAACGUAGAUAUCUAAGGGCCUAAUCGAAGUUUUGAAGGCCAUGAUUAGAUAUCUAUUUUCUGAGUUCUUGAUGAGAGUUUUCUUGUGAUCUUAUCAUAUCUAACUAAAGCUUUCGUCAUUGUUUUUCGUAGACAAAAGAAGAGGUAUAUGGAACCAUGUUAAAGUGUUUUAUGCUAGUACCCUAUUAUGAGUUGAUCACAUCAUGUAGAUUGCAUAAACAAUAUUUUGCUAGUACCCUACUAUGGGUUUUGUUCACCUAUUUUUUUUGCUUUAUUUCAUUACUCCUAGGUGAGUUCAUGACUCCUCCACACCUUUCACUAGAACAUGGACCAGAUCUGCAUAAUCGACUAAGAGAGGAGAUCAAUUCAACCUGUCUAAGUUUAUCUUUUCUUUCAUAUCAGCUUUUAGGUGGCUGUGACUCCCAACUCUCUCUAGUGUAAGAGGAUUCCUCUCGUUUACCCUUAAAAUUCACAGGCAACACUACUGCGGAUUUGAGUUUGGCAAGAAGUGAACUCGAUGAGCUCCAAAAGAGUAAAAGGAAAAUAUGUUGUAAGUAGGGAGAAAGUACGUCCAGAUAUGGAGGAGAAGAGGGCUGGAAUAGAGGAUGGACGGGAGUUCGUGGAACAAAAUAAGCCCUCAAAAUCAAAUUUCUUGAGUUGUUUACAACCAAAUAGAGAGGGUUUUAUCUGAAGGUAGAGAACUUAAUUCAAAAUUGAUUAAAAACAAAAAAAAGAAGGAAGAGACUAAAACUCAUGAUUUCUAGAUAUUAAUAUGCAUACUCAACUAUAAACUCAUGAGAUGCAGUUAGGAAUCUAACUUAAUGUUUUCCUUCAAACUAGUUACAUUGAUAUUGAUGAUAUUUCUCAAUUGUUGUCCUUACAUGGCAUCUAAAGAUGCUGCAUUAACAUGAAGCCGUACCUAGGUCAAUACAUACAUUUUAACAAUAUGGGAAUUUUUUUUAUUAAAGUCAAUACCUUUCUCUUUGCAUAAACCUUUCACAACUAAUUUAGUCUUGUACUUUAGAUGUAAAGGUUAUCAUUGAGUCUUCAGCUUGAAAGUUCAUUUGUUCUCUAUGGCUUUCAUCCCCUUUGAUAGUUAUACUAGAUCAUGUAUGUGGUUUUUCUACAAUGCCUCCAUUUCUUCACACAUUGCUACUAGCCACUUAAUUUUAAGCUCAAUUUCAACUACCUUUCGGUAACUAUCUAGUUCGCCUACAUCAGUAAGUAUAAUAUAUUUACCUAGAGGAUGAAUUUUAGAAGGUUUUAUAUGAUCCAAGAAAAAUUAUAGAUGAGUCUUCAUGGGAGAAUGUUCCUUCACUUCUCCAUGCUCAUCAUGUUGAUAGACUCCUAAGUACCCAAGUCCCUUGUCGCCAGAAACGGAGCAAAAGAAAGGAACGGAUUGCCAGAGCGGAAGACCAGCGCCCAACAUGAGUAAGUUUUGGGCCAGAAAUGAUGGGCCCAGAUGGAGGGCUUGGGCUGGUUAAGGCCUGACCAGUCAACAGCCAACUGUCACAGCGACAGUUUAAAUACUAGAGCAAGAGAUCGAGCGGGAGGAGAGAAAAAUCAAGAUUCUUCUACCCCAUCUGCCUCGACGUUUCACUCUGUCUGUCUGUCUGUCUGUCUCUCUCUCUCUCUCUCUCUCCCUCUCUCUCUCUCUGUUUCGCUCUCUAUUUCUCUCUCUCUUUCUUUCGUCAUGAUCUCGGCUAGAUCUGCUGUUCAUCAACAUCCUUGCUGCCUGAUCCUUUACCUCCUUCUGCAUUGUCUUUCCGGAGUUCGGAAAUGAUUGCUCUCGAGAUCAGGAACUAGUAAUUCUUGCAUUUCAAGAAAUUGAGAAAGGUGAUUGCGUACGUAAUACUUCUUCUUGUUCUCUGAAAUUCUUGUGUCUAAAAUCUUAAUAUCUUAUUUUGAGUAAAUUUCUUGAUAUCCUUCUGUUCUAUCUUUGAAUCAUUGGUUGAACUUCAACCGUUCCCUCCAAAUUUAUAUUGAUUGUGAGGAAUAUAAAAAAAGGAGAUCCUAUCACAUGUCUUAUAGGCAAGUUUGCAUCAAUUUCACUUAUAUCAUGUCCAUAGUAUUAGAAAGGCAGCAGCUGGAUGACGGGCAGCGGUGGAAAUAGUCGGACGGAAGAAGUGGUGGCAGAUGGAUAUUGGCCCUCAGGACCUCUCCUUCGGAGCGAAGAUGGUUGACCCUCACGGCCUCUCCCUCAUGGAGCAGACACAAGUAGUUCCUCAGAAUAAUCUCUUAUCUGGAGAUGGUCGCAAGACCUCGCCGCUCCUAGUUAGAAGCUCCACCUUUGUCUCUAUCUGGUCGUUGUCGCCAUCUGUCGUCGCCUCCACCACUGCCUUCGCUGCCACCGCCAUCUUCCUCGUCUUCUGCCGUCGUCUUCUUCCUCGUCGUCCACCACCAUAGGGGCGCGAGACAACUCUCUCUAAGGAGCUCGGCAAAAUAGCCCCGUAACUUCGGGAGAAGGGGUGCCUCCUCACAAAGGGGGUUGCAGCGACCAGGCCUGGGCGACUGCCGCCACUAUUUUGUAUAUGUCCGCUUCGGCCUCCGACACUCUUGGUCCGCCACUAUCUCUACCUUCAUUGCCGUCGCCUCCAUCCCGUCGCCGACCACCUCAUCGCCGCCGCCGGCUGUCCAAGAUCAACCCCAUUCUGUCGUCGCCGCCACCAUCCCUUCCCGCUUCUUCCACUGCCAUUGUCGCCCUUCCCAACCUUUGUUCCUCUGGUGAUCUGUUCCGCCGGUUUCUUUCCCAAUUAGGGCUUAAAGGCCCCGAUUCGUGGGUCCCAAUCUACUGGUUGAACUCGUUCGGUGAUCUCGACCAGGCCACCCUCCGAUGCGAGCCCCAUUGGUCUGAACGAACCCGCCACAGGUUCGAGCCAACGUGGACAAUUGGGUCCACGUCGUUCUCCCGCGCCAGGCCGAGCCAUUCUGACCAUCUGGUCCACGUCGGGCAUCCCGUCCAGCUGGAGCCAAGACUCAAUCAAAUUUCUACGACAUAGUGAAUGAUCAAUUAUCUAGGCAACGGUCAACAGCGUGGUCAAAAGUCAACUAUUAAUAUUCUGCAACCAAUAGUCUCUCUUCUCAGUCCUUUCCAAGGUAAGUAGUUCUCACGCAUCAUAUAUCUCUGCUCAUUUAAUAUAUUCUUAUUGCGAUUGUCCGAGGGUGACUAUAGUGUAACCAUAUGUUUCUGAGUUUAAUGAGCAUAGUAUAACGACUGGUGACUUUUCUGAGCUACCCGAUCACGGCUGUCCUUGUAGAAACACAGCCGUCACGAGGGCCCUCGGCCGUCAACCUUGUGGGAAGAAAUGUACCCGUCAGACCUCAGCUUUCCUCCUGCCCGUGGACAGCGUAGAGGUCAACGUGGACAGGCCACAUGCACUGAAUGCAAUUAAACGUGUUUAAACAUUGUACCCCGUCAGUCUUCAUUUUUGUAAAGAUUUCAAGGAUCUUCCAUGGAAAAUCUAAAAGCUCAACGAAUUAUCUUUGAUGCGAAGUGGAAGUGAAAAGGAUCGAGUAGUUUAAGAAAACCAUUUGAUGUAGAAUGCUCAACGAUUUUAUAGUUCAGAAAAUGUUUAAUACCACAGUUUAACAAUACACUGAAUAUGUAAAGUGGCUAUCGUAUGAUCUCUCAACCCACUAUAACAAGAAAGUAUAUUAAAUGAACAAAUGAAAUAGAGAAAUAAGAAGAUAUACUUGAACAUUGAAAAUAACGGUUGACCAUUGACCAAUAUAUUUGACCUUUUAUCUGUUUACCGAUGACUUGUCCUUGUUGACGGUUGACUGUGGAUGACCAAUCAGCUGCAGCGGCUCACAGCUAAGGGGUGGACCUGACUUGGUCCCAGUGGCUGGAUGGCUUUCGCCAGACGGUUUGGAUCGCGGCUGGCUAAAAGGUGUAAGUGUUGGUGGGCGGCUGGAAAUGGGCCAGGUAAAAUCAAGCCCUAGCCGUAAGAGGAGGGGCCAUCAGGAGGCGGCGGGAGAGGGGAAAGAGGGGUCGGUGGCGACGGCAGGCGGAGGCUGCAGCCGGUGGCGAGGGGAUGGCAGGCAGCGGCGGGCGGCGGAAAGGUGAGAGCUGGCGGCAAGGCCAUGGCUGGUAGCGGCAGGCGGUGGCAGGCGUCGGGAAGACGACGGCUGGCGGUGGCGGGAGGUAAUGGCGGCGAGCAGUGGCCGGCAGCGACGGGCGGAGGAUGAUGCGACUGGAAGGUGGUGGCGAUGCAGGCCGCGGCGGUACAAUGGCGAUAGAAGAAAGGGAAGGUGGGGGAGGGAAUGGUGCUCCAGACCAAGAGUGGCGGGGUCCUCUGACCAACCCAAGCCGGGGUGACGGGAUCUUACGAUCAGUUAAGAUAAGGAACUAAUCCUCAAAACUCCAUUUUUAAUUCUCCUUAAAUCAAAGGUCUGAAGGCCGAUUUAUAAGCCUUUCUACAGUGAAAUCUUAGUCAGUCAAUAAUGAAGGAAAUCUUCUAUUGCAAGGCAUUUGUUUUGAUGGCUUAAUCGGCGCGUAGCCGGAUCAAGGGCGUCGUCCACACCUUCUAUGUUGGUCAUUCCCCCAAUUUGAUUCAAAUCACCUUCCUUGAUCAAGAGAUGGUUUGGGCGCGCUGCAUCAAUCCCCCACCGCAAAAAGCGGUCCUCGUGGCCACGGCAGGGUUGGUUGGUGAUCCUCACCGUCCUUCCGGGAAAAGACCUCGCGACUUACCCCUUGUCCCCUUCGAGGACGAUGGAACCUUCGUGUGGCGGCUCCGGUAGGUCAACUUGGGGCUGGAUGGUCGCCGCCUUUCUUGAAAGCCUCACCGGAACACGCGUAGACCGAAGCGAUUAUCGCUUCAUUAUUUAGGGGCGCCGCCACCCACUCGCCCAUCAGGAGGAGCGCUCGAAUUUAAUAAACGAGCGGUUACUGUCACGAUAACAAGGCCGAGAACUUACAAAAUGUUUCAUAGCCAGAGUGCCGUGACGGCUUUCGCACCUUACAGCGGCCUUGUGGAGGCCCCAACCCACCUCCACGGAAAUCAUCGUUGAGCCAUGCCGCCGGGCGCCUCCAUCGCCUCUUUGCUCCUCCUGCUCGCCUUCGUCCUCGAGGCGCGAGGGGAGACGGUGACCACCUCUUUCAACUUCCCCAGUUUCGAUUCCAGCCCCACAGACAUCACCUUCCUGGCCGAUGCCUCAUCCGCCAACGGAUCCCUAGAGCUCAACUUGAACGCCGGAUACAGCCUCGGCCGAGCCAUCUACUCGAAACCAAUCCGCCUCUGGGA
RNAcentral lists this long non-coding RNA (7520 nucleotides) under Spirodela polyrhiza (greater duckweed). RNAcentral's name for it is "long non-coding RNA (SPOL_LNC002647)". Lineage: Eukaryota; Viridiplantae; Streptophyta; Magnoliopsida; Alismatales; Araceae. The record is from RNAcentral.